Molecule: ribosomal RNA, 519 nt
Filed under: uncultured bacterium
Lineage: Bacteria
Description: bacterial SSU rRNA
Rfam family: Bacterial small subunit ribosomal RNA
Source: RNAcentral
CUGGCUCAGACGAACGCUGGUAGCGUGGAUUAGGCAUGCAAGUCGAACGGGAUCCGGGAGGUAGCAAUACCUUCUGGUGAGAGUGGCGGAUUGGGGAGGAACACGUGAGCAACCUGCCCUUGAGUUGGGGAAAACCGUUGGAAACGACGGCUAAUACCGGAUGUGGCGCCCGGUGACAUCACUGGAGCGCUAAAGGGGGCCGCAAGGCUCUCGCUCGAGGAGGGGCUCGCGCACCAUCAGCUUGUUGGCGGGUAACGGCCCACCAAGGCCUACGGUUAGCUGGUCUGAGAGGAUGACCAGCCCCACUGGGACUGAGAUACUGCCCAGACUCCUACGGGAGGCUGCAGUCGAGGAUCAUUUGCAAUGGGCGAAAGCCUGACAAUGCGACGCUGCGUGGAAGGAUGAAGGCCUUCGAGUUGUAAACUCCUGUCAUGGGGGAACAGGCGAGGGGAGCUAAUACCUCCCUUAGUUGAGUGUACCCCAAGAGGAAGGGACGGCUAACUCUGUGCCAGCCGCUGC